This 516-nucleotide ribosomal RNA is filed under the name uncultured Actinomycetes bacterium. RNAcentral's name for it is "bacterial SSU rRNA". It matches the Rfam family "Bacterial small subunit ribosomal RNA", at positions 370 to 897 of the family's 1533-position model. Lineage: Bacteria; Bacillati; Actinomycetota; Actinomycetes. The record is from RNAcentral.
AAUGGGCGAAAGCCUGACGCAGCGACGCCGCGUGAGGGACGACGGCCUUCGGGUUGUAAACCUCUUCAGCAGGGACGAAGCGAAAGUGACGGUACCUGCAGAAGAAGCACCGGCCAACUACGUGCCAGCAGCCGCGGUAAUACGUAGGGUGCAAGCGUUGUCCGGAAUUAUUGGGCGUAAAGAGCUCGUAGGCGGUCUGUCACGUCGGAUGUGAAAACUCGGGGCUCAACCCCGAGCCCGCAUACGAUACGGGCAGACUUGAGUUCGGCAGGGGAGACUGGAAUUCCUGGUGUAGCGGUGAAAUGCGCAGAUAUCAGGAGGAACACCGGUGGCGAAGGCGGGUCUCUGGGCCGAUACUGACGCUGAGGAGCGAAAGCGUGGGGAGCGAACAGGAUUAGAUACCCUGGUAGUCCACGCCGUAAACGGUGGGUGCUAGGUGUGGGGAACUUUCCACGUUCUCCGUGCCGCAGCUAACGCAUUAAGCACCCCGCCUGGGGAGUACGGCCGCAAGGACUA